GGGGGGCAACUUUCGAAGAUGAGUCGGCAAAGCGACGAUGACUCGAUAAUAUAAUAACUUUUUCGGAAGAAGAUGUUCGAAGAAUUCAGACUUUCCAUGAUGAUGCUAUUAUUGUUUCGGCAACAAUAGCAAACUAUGAUAUAAAAAAAAUCCUUGUAGAUAAUGAAAGUUCAACCGACGUUUUAUUUUAUUCGGCUUUCUCCCGAAUGCGACUGUCAAUUGACCGACUCAGAAGAGUCUC
This 241-nucleotide long non-coding RNA is filed under the name Elaeis guineensis (African oil palm). RNAcentral's name for it is "long non-coding RNA (EGUI_LNC069055)". The record is from RNAcentral. Lineage: Eukaryota; Viridiplantae; Streptophyta; Magnoliopsida; Arecales; Arecaceae.